UACCCUGUAACCCUGGAUGCCAUGGAAGUUACCGGGCUCGAGACCUGAUUCGUACCAGUCGCCUUCUUUGGUCUCGAUGAUGGGCCACAGGAUCCCCCAUGAAAGGAAUGUACCAAGCAACAAGGAGAUAUUUAUAAGGGAAGCUCUGAAAGCCACAAUGAUCCCCAGAGGUGAAGAACCAUUGAAAGAAACUCCAUAAGAAGCUGAUAGAGAAGAAUCUCCCUAAUUCCCUCACUUGUUGCCUAUCAUCAAGAAAUUUUUAUUAAUAUAUUCAUGCCCGUUGCUUUUUCUUCAAGAAAAUUUUGUUAUGUUAGGGAUAUUUUGGAUCCUGAGAAUUGAAAAGGUCAUAAAAACAUCGGAUCCGGAUAUUAAAAUUAAAAAUGAAAGGAAAGAAUUGAAAGAGGUUGAUUACUUGGCAAGCUUGGCACCCUGGGGAGUGUGGAAGCUGUUAAUGAGGUGAGCAGUUGCAGUUCCACUGGGGUAUAUGAGCUUGAAGUCAAUGAUCAUGAUCUGUAAAAUUAAACCAUGCAUCCAUGCAUCAAAUUAAUUAAUAUCUUUUAAAAUUAA
Lactuca sativa (garden lettuce) is the source of this 567-nucleotide long non-coding RNA. RefSeq lists it as uncharacterized. NCBI's taxonomy places the organism in Eukaryota, Viridiplantae, Streptophyta, Magnoliopsida, Asterales, Asteraceae. The record is from RefSeq and is a predicted model, not a curated record.